CACACCGCCCGUCACACCAUGGGAGUUGGCUUUACCCAAGGUGGUGCGCUAACCUCGCAAGAGGAGGCAGCCAACCACGGUAGGGUCAGCGACUGGGGUG
Molecule: ribosomal RNA, 100 nt
Filed under: uncultured bacterium
Lineage: Bacteria
Description: partial 16S ribosomal RNA
Rfam family: Bacterial small subunit ribosomal RNA
Source: RNAcentral